UACAGAGGGGGCAAGCGUUAUUCGGAAUUAUUGGGCGUAAAGGGCGCGUAGGUGGCAAGGCAAGUGGAAGGUGAAAUCCCUCGGCUCAACUGAGGAACUGCCUUCCAGACUGCUGUGCUUGAGGCCGGGAGAGGCGAGUGGAAUUCCCAGUGUAGUGGUGAAAUGCGUAGAUAUUGGGAGGAACACCAGUGGCGAAGGCGACUCGCUGGACCGGUUCUGACGCUGAGGCGCGAAAGCUAGGGUAGCAAACGGG
This 253-nucleotide ribosomal RNA is filed under the name uncultured bacterium. Its description in RNAcentral is "partial 16S ribosomal RNA". It matches the Rfam family "Bacterial small subunit ribosomal RNA", at positions 524 to 776 of the family's 1533-position model. The record is from RNAcentral.